UACAGAGGGUGCAAGCGUUAAUCGGAAUUACUGGGCGUAAAGCGUGCGUAGACGGUAGCGUAAGUCGGGUGUGAAAGCCCCGGGCUCAACCUGGGAAUUGCAUUCGAGACUGCUCUGCUAGGGUGCGGAAGAGGGAAGCGGAAUUUCCGGUGUAGCGGUGAAAUGCGUAGAUAUCGGAAGGAACACCAGUGGCGGAAGCGGCUUCCUGGUCCAGCACCGACGUUCAGGCACGAAAGCGUGGGGAGCAAACAGG
RNAcentral lists this ribosomal RNA (253 nucleotides) under uncultured bacterium. RNAcentral's name for it is "partial 16S ribosomal RNA". It matches the Rfam family "Bacterial small subunit ribosomal RNA", at positions 524 to 776 of the family's 1533-position model. The record is from RNAcentral.